GAGUAAAGAGGAGCGUAUUUUGGAGUUGGAAACAGAGAAUGCUCUCCUUCGUUUGAGACUUGCUGAGUGUUUGUGUAAACUCCGCCGUGAGAGAGAGGAAGAAAUCCAUGUCCAGAGACAGAAACUUCAGCAGCAGAGUAAAGUGCAGAAGUCCACACAUGCAGCUCUCUCCAAACUUCUGUCUGAAGUUCAGAUGCUGGAACAGGACUUGAGGGAUGUUUUUACCAUCUACGUGAGGUUUGCUAAAGAACUGGAGGAACAAAGCAAGCAGCUGUUUGAAUGCGUGGGCACUGCCAGAAAUGCUAUUCAGGAUUUCCAAAGUGAUGACCUUCAGAGUGAGUGUGAACUCACACACCAACAUAUCAGUUCAUCUGUGUUAUCUGUGAAUAUUUGUACCUCCAAAUACACUUAAUGGGUCUCAUUCACUAAUUACAUGCACAUAGACUAUUCAGUCAUAUGGCAAGGUGAGAUAAUGGCCUGGAUUAUGAACCUCAACUCUGAACCUCCAUCUCCUCUUCUAUUUAAUCUUCUGCUCUCAUUUCCUUUUCAUCUGUCUCUUCCUUCAUCUGUCUCCUCCUCUACCACAAAACCAGCCUUGUUGUGACAGUAGGUAUGUGGUGCAGUGUUCAGAGAUUAUCCACAGUCCCUCUCCCCCAGCCUCUCCUCCAGGAAAAGCUGCUGUCAGCAGGGACAGAAAGGUCAUGUGUCCUGUGUCCUGUGCAUCACCUGCACACCAUGGUGACAAGCCUCCCGCAGGGCCUGUGGAUCGUAUCCCUUGUCAUUUAUAUAGUUGUAUUUGUAAAACUCCAAGCCAAACAGCUCCUCACUGAGUCUCAAAGUGCAAAUGAAAAAAUAUGUUACUGACAAAAAGCUUUUAAGGAUACCUUCAAAGACUACAG
This is a long non-coding RNA of Sinocyclocheilus grahami, 899 nucleotides long. RefSeq lists it as uncharacterized. The record is from RefSeq and is a predicted model, not a curated record. The transcript is spliced from 3 exons. Lineage: Eukaryota; Metazoa; Chordata; Actinopteri; Cypriniformes; Cyprinidae.